UAGGGCGAGGUUUCGUUUAUCCCAUCUCUCUCCUCUCACCUGCCUCUCUCCCCCUCUCACUUUUCUCGGUAAUUUUGUUGAGGAGAUCUGAGCCUCUCUCCCCGUCUCACUUUUCUCUCUCCUCUCACCUUCUUUUCUAGGUCUUCCUAGGUUACAAUUCCUCGCCGUCGUCCCUCUUUAAUGGCGACUAUGAGGUCAAUCGGAGGGAAAUGCAGAGCUCUAUUGGCGGCAGCAAAUUCCUUCACCACCGCAUCAACGACCGCAACUGGUGCUGCAAAAAGAUCGAAGCCUCCUUUCUGCAAAAAUAAUAGAGGUAUUUUGGUCUCUCUCGCUGCUCUCUCACCUUCAGCGACUUGGAACUACAUCAAGCUUCACAAUCUUCAGGGAAGAAAUGUACUACAUUUACGGAAAUUAGGGAUCAAUUCGCCAAAUACGUGAAAAAUACUCAUAAGAUCACCACCUGAAGAAUAAGAUCGAGCUCCUUAGCACACCGAUGAUGUCCUCAAGGUUUAACACUUUCAAAAGAAUCUGGAACUGAAACAAAGCCAGAUCGGUGUAGCAGCCUCAAUGACUGCAAAUUAGAGGGUUGUCCACGUGUGAACGGAAUCUGCCAGUGUCAUUAAACCGGGGUGGCAGAAGAAGCUUAUUCAAAGAUACCAGCUCAACUAAAUGACAAUGCCAGACUUCAAUGUUAUGGAGACUGUAAAUGCAAACAAACCGAAGUUGAAGUAGCCUAUCAAACCCUAGAUUUCCCGCCUCCAGUUGUUGUCUUCGCAUCUUCUCCUUCCCGCUGCUCUUCUCCAUCUCCGCGAUCCCCUUUUCCCUCAAUUGUCUGGAUCUGACUUCGGAGACUCCUUAUACAAAUCUGAUUUUCGAAGCCAAAUAUGGAAGCCCAGCUUUAUAUAAUUCUAUGUUCAUUUUCCGAAAUAUGACAGAGAUAUUGUAUUGAUCGAUAUUAAGGUUCCCGGGUUGCCGUAUGCUGUUGCUAAGUGUGUUGCAUCAUCUCUGUUGGUACAUUGUCAAUUACCGCGAAGCUUAUGGUCACAUAGCAACAAGUGUGCUGCAUCAUCGUCGGUACACUGUCAAUUACCGCGAAGCUUAUGUUUGGUCCAAAUUAUCCUAAUUGAAACAAAAACAAAAUCAACCUGCCAUGGAAGAACUGCAGAUCUAGGGUUCCAGUGAAUCAACUCUGCAACUUCAACUUCCUCUCUCCUAAAAUCGCACUCUCUCUCCUCAACAAUGGCACGAACGAAGAACACCGCUAAGAGUUCCACCGGAUGAAAAGCCCCACCGUUUCCCUUUCUUUGAGAUUAUGUAAGUGUAUUUUUCAUAAUCAAUUUCACACUCAAUUUGCAGAUCUAGGGGUUCAGUUCCUUCGCAUAUACCGUAGGUCACGUUGUACUUUUGAAAUUACUCAUUUGAUGCACGAAAAAUUUGCAUUUUAGUUAUCUCUUGAUAAUUUUAGUUUGGAUUUGUGGUACCUUAGUGUGUGGCAUGCUUAGUUAAGAAUUAAAUUAGUUAAGGAUUUCUCUUAUUUAGUUAUGUUUUUUUGUGUUUAGUUUUCACUAUGAAUUAGUGAAUGCAUUGUUACAUUUAGUUAUUAUUUUUCUUUGUUUAGUUAAGCUUUGUGCCUGUCAAUGUUCCAUGGCUUCUUGCUCUUCAUUACCUUGCCCUUGACUUCUUUUUUGCUUGAUCUUUUGAUUAUCUGCUGGUAGAGAGACUGAGAAAAGUUACUGAGAGAAUGCUAGGCCUUUUUUCGGCACAUGAUAGAGAUAUUAUCUAUAGUAUUGUUUGGGAUUUGCCUCAUCAAAAACCCACAAAGAUUCUAUGGCUUUGCAUAGUUGGAUUCACAACCUAUUUUUUUAUGUGUUUUACUUAUGACCUGUUUGAGCUUGAUGAGACUAUACAAUUGAGAAUAGAAAAUGGCACAAAGCAAAUGCCUUGAAAAAAUAGUUUCCAAUCAUCUCUAAUUUUCAAAUAUUGGCGUGAGUUCCUACAAGGAGGAAAGUGUUAAUUAUGUUCCAAUCAACUCAACAAAAUUAAACAAUAAACAAAAGCAACAUGGGUAUUAAUGUGGAUAUAGAAAUAUUAACGUACCCCUGCAGACUGGAACAUGUUUUGUACAAUAAGUCUUUCCCUCUUAGGAUCCACAAGUGAUUCCCUGAAAGCAUGAUUUCCUAAACAUGACUUAAAAGACAUGGUAGGCAAAGUACGAGAGAGUCAGGAUUCAGACGUAGACUUGGGUAAAAGUGGGGUCAGAGCAAGUGGUUUACUGCCAUUUUCAGAAUACUUGCUUCUUUUAACAUCUCAUUUAAAUUGACAUCUAUUUCCAAGCUUUGCAUGCCUUCAUUGACAUCCUGGCAUAACUUCUCCGAGGUAGAAUAAUUUAUUUCUGGUUUCUAAAAUUAAUGGUUUGCUGGUUUUAUGUAACCUGCUCUUUGUAUGCAGCUUUUGGGAUGCAUGAAAUCUACAUAAACCCCUUUUGGGUUUGCUCUUUUCUGAAUUGUAUAUGUUGGGUCGGAUAAUUUCAACACGGCAUUGUUGUAAAUUCUGCAUUUACCCUUCCUCUUCAGGUUCCUGUGACAAACUUAGGUGACAGUGGUUUGGAUACUCUCUCUAACUCAACGGUAAAGCAUUUAAAGUCUUUUGAGUUUAGUACAAAGUUUCUGGAUGUGACGAGUCUUAUAGAGGAAGUAUUAUUUUGCAAUUUGUAGGAUCAGAUUUGCCCUAUUCACCAGUUAUGCAGUACUCUGGAAAAGAAACUUGAUAGUGUCAUUGAUGUUGAAACCUUUGUGAAUCAUGGAUUAUUAAUUAUGCUGCCUCUGAUAGCAAUUACAACUUGGUUGUCACGUUGAACAUAAGAUUCCUUAUUGCGUAUUAUUCAUUUUCAUUUCUUUGCUUUCUAUUCUCGAGUUUAAUUUGUUCCUGUUGUUGUAUGUUCAGCUGCCACACAUGCUUUUCACAAGCAGCCAACAGCUCAACAUAUGCAGACUCGAGUAAAGCAGUUGCAGCUCAACAACUUUCUCAAAUCCUCAUACAAACAGCUGGGAAGUCAGCAGCUGAAAGGAAAGAGCCUAGAAGUUUCUGUAAUGCAGUCGAAGAUUGUUAGAAAGCUUUUCCUACUAAUCAGAAGAUUCAUCUAGAGGCUGUUAGAUCAAAAUAACUGAAGUUUACAAGGGGAUUUCACGAAUUCACGCCGAGUACUAUUUUGAACGGAAUAUGUUUUUUUGUUUUUCUUAUACAUUUUCGCAUGUAUAACGUGCAUAUAAGUUAAGUUUUUUGUGUAACAGAUUAGGAUUUUAAGGAUUGUCAAAUCCUAAUUAGGACAUAUAUUAAGUUUUGAUAUGGCAAUAGAUUUCCGUUAUUACAUGUUAUGUUUUCUUGGGUUAUAUCAGCACGAAGUAUUGCGUUAUACAUUUUUUAGUGAUACAACAAAUGUUUAUUACAAAUAUGUUUCUUAUA
This is a long non-coding RNA of Spinacia oleracea (spinach), 3462 nucleotides long. RefSeq lists it as uncharacterized. Lineage: Eukaryota; Viridiplantae; Streptophyta; Magnoliopsida; Caryophyllales; Amaranthaceae. The record is from RefSeq and is a predicted model, not a curated record. The transcript is spliced from 7 exons.